CCCACGUGUUCCAUCCAGAGCCCUUUAUUGCAAACCCCGCCCCCCUCCCUCCAUCCCGGCUUCUGAUUGGCCGAGGGGAGGGGGUGGCUCAGCUCCCAUUGGUCAGUGAUGGGGGGUGGGUGGGGUCAGGGCUCUCCGUGGGGCAGCCCCGGCUCAAGUCCGUCUGUGGGGCUGGAUGUGGGUCCGUCCGUGGGUCCGUCCGUGGGUCGGUCUAUGGGUCACGGGGGCGAGUGGGGGCCCUCCCCCCCCCCCCUCACUCCUCGCCGUGGGUCGGUCCGUGGGUCCAUCCGUGGGUCCAUGGGUCAAUCUAUGGGUCAAGCCCAUGGGUCCAUCCAUGAGUCCAUCCAUGGGUCAAUCUAUGGGUCAGUCUAUGGGUCCAUGGGUCAAUCUAUGGGUCAGUCUAUGGGUCCAUGGGUCCAUCCAUGGGUCAAUCCAGUCUAUGGGUCCAUGGCUCCAUCAACGUUCUGGUCCAUGUGUCCAUCCGUGGGUCCAUCCGUGGGUCGUUGGGGGGCGAUAUGUGGGUCAAUCUAUGGGUCAGUCUACGGGUCCAUCCAUGGGUCAGCCCAGUCUAUGGGUCCAUGGGUCCAUCAAUGGUUUGGUCCAUGGGUCCAUCC
Molecule: long non-coding RNA, 614 nt
Filed under: Calidris pugnax (ruff)
Lineage: Eukaryota; Metazoa; Chordata; Aves; Charadriiformes; Scolopacidae
Description: lncRNA (ENSCPUG00000002119.1)
Source: RNAcentral